AACCAGCUACUAGAUGGUUUCGAUUAGUCUUUCGCCCCUAUACGCAAAUUUGACGAUCGAUUUGCACGUCAGAACCGCUGCGAGCCUCCACCAGAGUUUCCUCUGGCUUCACCCUAUUCACGCAUAGUUCACCAUCUUUCG
This 141-nucleotide ribosomal RNA is filed under the name uncultured Ascomycota. Its description in RNAcentral is "partial 18S ribosomal RNA". Lineage: Eukaryota; Fungi; Ascomycota. The record is from RNAcentral.